GAUGAAGAACGCAGCGAAAUGCGAUAAGUAGUGUGAAUUGCAGAAUUCCGUGAAUCAUCGAAUCUUUGAACGCACAUUGCGCCUUCUGGUAUUCCGGAAGGCAUGCCUGUUCGAGAGUCAUUAACAACCGUUUCGAUCCCUUUCUUUCAGAAAUUACAAAGAGGAAAAGGGUUUGGUUAUGGUGGAGGAGGGAAAGGGAGCGUUUAGCCUGUAAAAAAAGAGGCUGUGUUCCGCCUCCCCCCCAAAAUUGUACAGGCGGUCGUGUGCGCCCACGCAUCGAGGUGUUGUAAAGGCUGCCACGGCACUUUUCACCUGUGCAGUGCGAGAUUGGCCAGCCGGUUUAAAAACCCCUCCAAACAAUCAAAGGUUGACCUCGGAUCAGGUAGGGAUACCCGCUGAACUUAAGCAUAUCAAUAAGCGGAGGA
This 425-nucleotide unclassified non-coding RNA is filed under the name soil metagenome. RNAcentral's name for it is "partial contains 5.8S ribosomal RNA, internal transcribed spacer 2, and large subunit ribosomal RNA". The stretch from base 1 to 120 matches the Rfam family "5.8S ribosomal RNA", at positions 35 to 154 of the family's 154-position model. The record is from RNAcentral.